Molecule: ribosomal RNA, 253 nt
Filed under: uncultured bacterium
Lineage: Bacteria
Description: partial 16S ribosomal RNA
Rfam family: Bacterial small subunit ribosomal RNA
Source: RNAcentral
UACGAGGGGGGCAAAUGUUGUUCGGAAUCAUUGGGCGUAAAGCGCGUGUAGGCGGCUCGGUAAGUCCGCUCUGAAAGUCCAGGGCUCAACCCUGGGAUGCGGGUGGAUACUGCCGGGCUCGAGUCCGGAAGAGGCGAGUGGAAUUCCCGGUGUAGCGGUGAAAUGCGCAGAUAUCGGGAGGAACACCAAUGGCGAAGGCAGCUCGCUGGGACGUGACUGACGCUGAGACGCGAAAGCGUGGGGAGCAAACAGG